Molecule: RNA transcript, 2225 nt
Organism: Dipodomys ordii (Ord's kangaroo rat)
Lineage: Eukaryota; Metazoa; Chordata; Mammalia; Rodentia; Heteromyidae
Gene name: mitogen-activated protein kinase 6-like
Exons: 5
Source: RefSeq, a predicted model, not a curated record
AUGGGGAGGGCUCAAAAGGAAAAGAUACCGGCUGAGGCUAGGCGGUCUCUCAGGGAGGAAUGCAGAGUGCAAGCAGAGAAUAACCAGCAGGCUCAACCUGCGAUACCUAUUAGUUAUGCCAUGUUAACAGGGACGGGGGAUGGGUACUCCACUGGCAUCCAACAGGCCACAAUAACUGGCCUGUACCAUGACCAGGCCACUGCCCUCCGAGUACCUCCUAUUAGGUGGAAGCCAGGAAGCCCAAUCUGGGUGGAGCAGUGGCCAUUGACCAAACCUAAACUUGUAGCCCUCCACCUUUUGGUGAAGGAACUGAUAAACCUUGGGCACAUAUGCCCUUCUCUGAGUCCUUGGAACACACGAAAGGAUGGAGCUAGUAGAAACGCCCCUAAGAGGCAAAUAGCUGGAUUAGAACAAGCCCAACCUCUGGACUAUAAAGUGGCAAAGACUGCUAUCCCAUCCUUGACUAAUGUUAAAGGACUGCUAAUGACAUUGCUUGGCCUGGAGCAUGCCAGGCUAUUCAUGUACCAGCUGCUAUGGGCUCAAGUACAUUCAUUCUACAAACAUACUGCACAGAGAUAUCAAACCAGCUAAUCUUUUCACCAAUACCGAAGACCUGGUGUUGAAUAUAGAUGAGUUUGGUCUGGCACUGAUCAUGGAUCCUCAUUAUUCCCAUAAGAGUCAUCUUUCUGAAGGAUUGGUUACUAAAUGGUACAGAUCUCCAUGUCUUUUACUUUCUCCUAACAAUUAUACUAAAGCCAUUGACAUGUGGGCUUCAGGCUGCAUUGCAUCUAUGCUGAAUUGCUGAGUGGUAAAACCUUCUUUUCAGGUGCACAUGAACCUGAACAGACCCAACUGGUUUUAGAAUCUAUUCCUGUUGUCCAUGAGGAGAAUUGUCAGGAGAUUCUCAGUGUAAUUCCCGUUUACAUUAGAAAAGACAUGACUGAGCCACACAAACACAUAACCCAGCUGCUUCCAGGAAUUAGCCAAGAAGCACUGAGUUUCUUGGAGCAGACACAGAUCUUUAGCCCCAUGGAUUACUUGACUGCGGAGGAAGCGCUCUCUCAUCCCUACAUGAAUAUUUAUUCCUUUCCCAUGGAUGAGCCCAUAUCAAGCCAUCUUUUUCACAUCAAAAAUGAAGUGGAGAUAUUUUUCUUGUGGAUGAAACUCACAAUCACAUUUAUAAUUGGGAAAGGUACCAUGAUUGCCAGUUCUCUGAGCAUGGUUGGCAUAUACAUAACAAUUUUGAUACUGAAGAAGUUCAGCUUGACUGGAGAGCUCUGUUUGAAAUCACUGAUGAAGAAGGGGUGCAAGUGUACCCUCGGAAAUACUGGGAUGGAGAUCAAGAGAAGUAUCUGGAGGAGGAUGCUUUUGGCUCCAAUUACUCGUCAGAGCCCUGCUCUACCCAGACUACCAUGAGAACAAAUACUGUGACCUGGAGUGUAGCCAUACCUGUAACUACAAAAUGAGGUCACCAUCGUACCUUGACAACUUAGUGUGGAGAGAGAGUGAGGUUAAUCAUUAUUACAAGCCCAAGCUUAUUAUUGACCUUUCCAACUGGAAAGAACAAAGCAAAGACAAAUUGGAUAGGAGAGAGCAGAACGGAUUGAUGAAGGCCCUAAUAGCGUUAGAGGAAGCCUCCCAGCAGGGUGCUGAGGAGAGGGAGCAGAAACAGAGAUUUGAUUUCAAUUACUUCAUUUCAGGAACUAUUCAGCUCAGCUCGUAGCAUGAGCCCACUCAUAUUGUUGAUAAGUUACAUGACUUGAAUAGCUUAGUGUCCCAGCUAGAAUUGAAAAGUCUGAUAGCAAAAUUAGUGAGCCAGGAGAAGCAGGAGAAGGGGAUGGCGAACCUGGCACAGCUGGGAGCCUGGUACCAGUUGUCCUGGGACAGCCAGUUUGUGGACAGUGGUGAGGAGUGCUUCCUCAUCAGUUAAUUCUGCUGUGAGUUCAGGAAGGAUGAGAAAGUGGAGAAGGAAAACAUGUCCACCACUUACUUGGAUAAGAUUUUUAGCAGGAAGGAAGAGUCUGAAGUGCUAGAAACUGAGCCAGAGGAAGAAGGCAGACUCAGAGACAGCCACAGCUAGGAAUUCCGCUUUAACAAGCAGCUGGAGUCCAUAAGCAUUCCUGUUUCCCAUCCCCAUGGGGUCAACACUUAAGUCAUUCCAGACUACCUUAACACCUUCUGCUCUGAAAUCCUCAUACAGAAACAUUCUAAAACACCUGAAAUAA